GGUGCCCCAGCACAGCCCCAGCACACCAUGGUAGCUACUGGUCCUGCUGGAUUUGGAUGCCCUGGCCAUGUUCCCAGGGCUGGAUCAGGAAAUACAUCAUUGCAAUGUUUGAGGCUAGGAGAAGCUGCAUGGACUGGAACUGCCCUCCUGGGCCUGAGGGUCAUAGAACCAUUGAACACUUAGGGUUGGAAAAGCCCUUAAGAUCAUCCAGUUCCAACCCCCUGCCAUGCAGGACAGGGAUACCAUGCACCAUGUCACCCAAGACUCUGUCCAACCUGGCCUUGAACAGUGACAGGGAUGGAGCAUCUCCUGCAGACACUGACACCAGCAAUAUGAAGGUCUCAUUUAGCUGGUUUCUUUUCCUCACCUGAAAGGGAUUUGGGCUCAGAGAGGACAGAAAAGCUGUGAAAUGUGCCCCAGCAAUGGAGAAAACGCAACCUGUGGAGAAAAGCCAUGUGAGCUGAACUCGUGAAUACAGCGGAACAGCAGAAGUCUUCCUUGAGAACAACCACAGUCAUGCGGGCUGCUACACAGCUUCUCCAUCGGAAAAGGAAACAUGCAAAAUCAGAAUUGAAGGAAGAGAAA
Pezoporus flaviventris is the source of this 585-nucleotide long non-coding RNA. RefSeq lists it as uncharacterized. The record is from RefSeq and is a predicted model, not a curated record. The transcript is spliced from 2 exons. Lineage: Eukaryota; Metazoa; Chordata; Aves; Psittaciformes; Psittacidae.